ACGAGGAACUGAAGUUUAAGAGAGUUCAAGAAGAUUGUGGGUCCCAUGCUAGAGCAAACUGGCCCCGAACCAUUGCCUGGCCUGUGCCAGUAGGCUGCUGGCACUGAAGUGGGUUGCACAGUG
This 123-nucleotide small nucleolar RNA is filed under the name Microcebus murinus (gray mouse lemur). RNAcentral's name for it is "Small nucleolar RNA SNORA42/SNORA80 family (ENSMICG00000022625.3)". It matches the Rfam family "Small nucleolar RNA SNORA42/SNORA80 family". Rfam says of the family: The members of this family belong to the H/ACA class of snoRNAs that guide the sites of modification of uridines to pseudouridines. Human ACA42 (SNORA42) was cloned from HeLa cells by immunoprecipitation with anti-GAR1 antibody. Its is predicted to guide the pseudouridylation of residues U109 and U572 of 18S rRNA. The record is from Rfam by way of RNAcentral. Lineage: Eukaryota; Metazoa; Chordata; Mammalia; Primates; Cheirogaleidae.